RNAcentral lists this transfer RNA (96 nucleotides) under Ustilago bromivora. It matches the Rfam family "tRNA". From Rfam's summary of the family: Transfer RNA (tRNA) molecules are approximately 80 nucleotides in length. Their secondary structure includes four short double-helical elements and three loops (D, anti-codon, and T loops). Lineage: Eukaryota; Fungi; Basidiomycota; Ustilaginomycetes; Ustilaginales; Ustilaginaceae. The record is from Rfam by way of RNAcentral.
GGCCGGUUGGCCCAAUGGUAAGGCGUCUGACUACGAUCGUAGCCGCCCAAGUAGCGAGUAAUCAGGAGAUUCUGGGUUCGAGCCCCAGGCUGGUCA